Molecule: unclassified non-coding RNA, 366 nt
Filed under: soil metagenome
Description: partial contains 5.8S ribosomal RNA, internal transcribed spacer 2, and large subunit ribosomal RNA
Rfam family: 5.8S ribosomal RNA (bases 1-120)
Source: RNAcentral
GAUGAAGAACGCAGCAAAAUGCGAUAAGUAAUGUGAAUUGCAGAAUUCAGUGAAUCAUCGAAUCUUUGAACGCACAUUGCGCCCGCCAGCAUCCUGGCGGGCAUGCCUGUCCGAGCGUCAUUUCAACCCUCAGGUCCCCCUUUUCGGAGGGGGAGACACCCUGGUGUUGGGGGACGGCCUGGCCUUCUGCGCCGCGCCGCCCCCGAAAUGAAUUGGCGGCCUCGUCGCGUGCCACCCCUGCGUAGUAGCACAACCUCGCAACGGGAGCCCGACGCGGCCACUGCCGUAAAACGCCCAACUUUUAAGAGUUGACCUCGAAUCAGGUAGGAAUACCCGCUGAACUUAAGCAUAUCAAUAAGCGGAGGA